CCUACGGGGGGCUGCGGUGGGGAAUCUUGCGCAAUGGGCGAAAGCCUGACGCAGCGACGCCGCGUGAGCGAUGAAGGCCUUCGGGUUGUAAAGCUCUGUGGGGAGAGAAGAAUAAGGGUUGGCUAACAUCCAACCUGAUGACGGUAUCUCCUUAGCAAGCACCGGCUAACUCUGUGCCAGCAGCCGCGGUAAGACAGAGGGUGCAAACGUUGUUCGGAAGCACGGGGCGUCGGCCGCGUGUGGGCGGUGUGAAAUCCCACGGCUCAACCAUGGAAGUGCAUUCGAAACUGCCAGACUAGAGUCCUGGAGAGGAAGGCGGAAUACUCGGUGUAGAGGUGAAAUUCGUAGAUAUCGAGUGGAACACCGGUGGCGAAGGCGGCCUUCUGGACAGUGACUGACGCUGAAACGCGAAAGCGUGGGGAGCAAACAGGAUUAGAUACCCUUGUAGUC
Molecule: ribosomal RNA, 450 nt
Filed under: uncultured bacterium
Lineage: Bacteria
Description: partial 16S ribosomal RNA
Rfam family: Bacterial small subunit ribosomal RNA
Source: RNAcentral